UGUCGUUCAGUAUGUAUAUGGACCAGCCUCGUGUGUCAUGCAGUAUGUUUUCUGUCCGAUAUGUUUUGUCUUUCCAGAGCUGCCGUGAUGGAGGCCGGACUCGUGUGGGACCGCGGAGAUGCCGGGCCAAGAGGGGGAGACAUCACAAAGAGUCACACCAAGAUAGAUAGGUCAAUUUAGGUCAACAAAUGUCAACAGUGUGUUAAUGAGGAUAGGUUAUCACUGGUUAGCUGUCUAAUCAUUGGGAGUGACUAGUGUGCAGAGCUCGGCAACAUUAUGGAAUACUAAAUGAUAUCAAGUGAUUGUGUCUAGUUUUUAGUUUACUCUCUCCUCCUCCUCCUCCUCUCUGUCUAUCUUCAUCCCUUCCUUUUAAUAAAUAAGUUAUCUUUUGCUUAAUUAACGUUUAUAAUUCUUUCUGGUGGUCAAAUCUUGCAUCUCAUUUCCUUAUCGUCCAUUCUCUCUCCUCCUCCUCCUCCUCCUCCUGCUCAUAAUCCAAUUCCUUCUAUUCUCCUUUAUUCCUUUUUCACUUUCCCUCCUUCUCUUUUCCAUUCCCCUUCCCCGACUUUCCUCCAUUCUUUCCUCCUCUAUUCUUCCUUCAUCUCCUUCUCCUUUUUCUCCUUUCACUCCUCCUCCUCCUCUGUCUAUCUUCAUCCCUUCCUUCCUUUUAAUUAAUGUCUAUAUAAGUUAUCUUUUGCUCAAGGUUCUUUCCAGUGUGUUUGUGGUGUCCGGCUCUGCUUGCUAGUUUGUUUUGUCACUGUAUAAUUGUCAAUCCUAGUUUUUGUCACUGUAUAAUUGUCAGCCCUAGUUUGUUUUGUCACUGUAUAAUUGUGAGUCCUAGUUUGUUUUGUCACUGUAUAAUUGUCAGUCCCAGCCAGGCGCCUCUUCCAUGUAAAGAUAUCGGCAGCUUCAAGCCUUGCCGAUAUCUCAAUCCGUACGUGAAUGUAAAUUAACCGAAAUCCUUGUUACUAAGCCCUGCACGGUGCUCUCACAUACUGCUUCUUUAAAUUUUCAGUCUCACUUAACUUCCGGGGUUAGUAAUAUAUUUUGCCAUGAGUUAACUCCCCGUGAUGGCCAGUUUCAUGUACUAUAUAUAAGUAAUUUGCCUUUUGCAUGGCUGUAAUUCUGCAUCCGUGUCUAAGGCCCAGUUUCACAGUUCCUCGUGAUGGGUUAGUAAGCUCCGAAACCAAUACCAGAGCCUUCGAAAUUUCCUUGUACGGUGUCUGGAGUUUAUAUUCAAGUUCACAAAUUUGACGAGACUAUACAGGAAAGGUCUUGUGUGUUUAUGGUACGAAGGAAAGGGAGGAGAAGGGAGAUGAGAUUGGGAGACGAGUGAGCCGAGAUCCUGUUUAUAUUCCAGUUCACAAAUUUGACGAGACUAUACAGGAAAGGUCUUAUAUUGUCAUGAUACGAAGGAAAGGGAGGAGAAGGGAGAUGAGAUUGAAAGAUGAGUGAGCUGAGAUGGUGUUUAUAUUCAAGUUCACAAGUUUGAUGAGACUAUACAGGAAAGGUCUUGUGUGUUUAUGGUACGUAGGAAAGGGAGGGGAAGGGAGAUGAGAUUGGGAGAUGAGUGAGCCGAGAUGGUGUUUAUAUUCAAGUUCACAAGUUUGACGAGACUAUACAGGAAAGGUCUUGUGUGUUUAUGGUACGUAGGAAAGGGAGGAGAAGGGAGAUGAGAUUGGGAGACGAGUGAGCCGAGAUCCUGUUUAUAUUCAAGUUCACAAAUUUGACAAGACUAUACAGGAAAAGCUGUGUUUAUGAUAUGAAGGAAAGGGAAGAGAAGGGAGAUGAGUAAGCUGAGAUCCUGUUUAUAUUCAAGUCCACAAAUUUGACAACACAAUACAGGAAAAGCUCUGUGUAUUUAGUGUGUCAUCGAAGACCGCGCCAUUUAGAACAGUAUGGGAUUCUAUAGCUUGGUUCGGGAGUGUUACAAAGACCAUGAUGGACUGUGGAAGCGGCCCUUAAUGUUCCCUUUUCUAAUAUGCUUCUCUGUUUUUGCAGGAUGCCGCGGACGGACCAUGCAGAGGACUCAUCGCGACGACACCAACGGUUUGGUUAAGUGGGUUCUCUUGUGUGUGCGUCUGUGUGUGAAUGGCAGGCCUGUCGUAUGAUUGUGUGUGUGUGUGCGUUGGCGGUAUGCCUUCGCACUAUUAUUUUGUUAGGAUGUAUUUUUUUGUGUGUGAACUUUUUGCACGUAAUCUUUUUUUAUACCCAUAGCUAGCGUUUGUUUGUGUAGCUGUGUUCCGGGAGAUGGGCGCCGGGGGACAUGGGCUGGGGGGGGCGCACGUGACCUCCUCUGUCCGUGACCUCUUCAGCUGGGGAGACCGCGUGUUGCCCCGGCUGGAGAGACACGUUGAUGGAGGCGGCUGCGUGUGUCGUCCCUUGCCUGUAUCCUCUGGCGUCCAGAGGCGCGUAAGUGGAGAGCAUCGGCGCAGCGCGGGAGCAGCACGUCAGGGUGUAGGGUGUUUGUUUAGCUGGUGUAGGGUGUUAGGGUGUUAGGGUGUUAGGUGUAACAACGGUUGGCUCUUUCACAGAACGGGUGUGAUUCCGUUCUGCGUUUGAGUCUUCCACCUUCAGACGGUCUCCCUCCGAGAUGUCUGAAGUUUUUUUUGUCGGUUUUCUCCUUAGGAGGAAGCCGACUCUAGCUACUCUGGCCUCUCUUCCGGGGGUCAGAGCGGUCGGGCUCUGCUUGGCCA
Long non-coding RNA from Eriocheir sinensis (Chinese mitten crab), 2693 nucleotides. RefSeq lists it as uncharacterized. The transcript has 3 exons. Lineage: Eukaryota; Metazoa; Arthropoda; Malacostraca; Decapoda; Varunidae. The record is from RefSeq and is a predicted model, not a curated record.